GAUUAACGCUGGCGGCAUGCCUAAUACAUGCAAGUCGAGCGAACAGAUGAAGUGCUUGCACUUCUGACGUUAGCGGCGAACGGGUGAGUAACACGUAAGGAAUCUGCCUAUAAGCGGGGGAUAACAUUCGGAAACGGGUGCUAAUACCGCAUAAUAUCUUCUUCCGCAUGGAAGAAGAUUGAAAGACGGCUCUGCUGUCACUUAUAGAUGACCUUGCGGUGCAUUAGUUAGUUGGUGGGGUAACGGCCUACCAAGACGAUGAUGCAUAGCCGACCUGAGAGGGUGAUCGGCUACAUUGGGACUGAGACACGGCCCAAACUCCUACGGGAGGCAGCAGUAGGGAAUCUUCCGCAAUGGGCGAAAGCCUGACGGAGCAAUGCCGCGUGAGUGAAGAAGGCCUUCGGGUCGUAAAACUCUGUUAUAAGAGAAGAACAAAUUGUAGAGUAACUGCUACAGUCUUGACGGUAUCUUAUCAGAAAGCCACGGCUAACUACGUGCCAGCCGCCGCCGUAA
RNAcentral lists this ribosomal RNA (513 nucleotides) under uncultured bacterium. RNAcentral's name for it is "partial 16S ribosomal RNA". It matches the Rfam family "Bacterial small subunit ribosomal RNA", at positions 28 to 523 of the family's 1533-position model. The record is from RNAcentral.